RNAcentral lists this ribosomal RNA (468 nucleotides) under uncultured bacterium. RNAcentral's name for it is "partial 16S ribosomal RNA". It matches the Rfam family "Bacterial small subunit ribosomal RNA", at positions 28 to 507 of the family's 1533-position model. The record is from RNAcentral.
GACGAACGCUGGCGGCGUGCUUAACACAUGCAAGUCGAACGGUGAUGCUCCAGCUUGCUGGAGUGGAUCAGUGGCGAACGGGUGAGUAACACGUGAGCAACCUGCCCCAGACUCUGGAAUAAGCGCUGGAAACGGCGUCUAAUACUGGAUACGAAACUGGCCCGCAUGGGCAUGGUUUGGAAAGUUUUUCGGUUUGGGAUGGGCUCGCGGCCUAUCAGCUUGUUGGUGAGGUAAUGGCUCACCAAGGCGACGACGGGUAGCCGGCCUGAGAGGGCGACCGGCCACACUGGGACUGAGACACGGCCCAGACUCCUACGGGAGGCAGCAGUGGGGAAUAUUGCACAAUGGGUGAAAGCCUGAUGCAGCGACGCCGCGUGAGGGAUGACGGCCUUCGGGUUGUGAACCUCUUUCAGCAGGGAAGAAGCGAAAGUGACGGUACCUGCAGAAGAAGCACCGGCUAACUACGUG